Long non-coding RNA from Aethina tumida (small hive beetle), 518 nucleotides. RefSeq lists it as uncharacterized. NCBI's taxonomy places the organism in Eukaryota, Metazoa, Arthropoda, Insecta, Coleoptera, Nitidulidae. The transcript is spliced from 2 exons. The record is from RefSeq and is a predicted model, not a curated record.
GCCAAAACAUUCUUCAUUAAAAGUGUGUUUACGUAUGAAACUACAACUAAGCAAACUAACAAAAUGAGUAAAAAGUUAUUUUUAAUAUUAUAUUUUUUAUUUUUUGAUGUGCAUUGUGAUAUCGUUCAACGACAGAAUAAAUUUUUAAUUGAAGAUUGCCUAAAGUCAACUGCAACAAGUUUAUGGCGUUGUGCACAAAUUAAAAUUGUUUACAGAUGGGACGUUAAACAAGGAAAGUGUCGUGAAGACUUUUAUAGUGGAUGUGAACCAUCAAGAAACAAUUUUGAAAGUUUAAACAUGUGCAACAAAAUUGCAAAACCAGUGUGUAUAAAUUAUAAACCGAGUUAACAACGCAAACUUGUUAAAAAUAAUUAAUAUUCAGGUAUUUUGUUAUUGUUAUAGAAUUAAAAAUUAUGUAGUUAUUUACCCAUCAAUCAAUUAUGAAAUGGUAAGGCAUUUUUAUUUACUGAGUAUUGUAAAUAAUGUACUUAUAAAACAUUACAAACUGAUUGUCGUCA